This 3062-nucleotide long non-coding RNA is filed under the name Panax ginseng (ginseng). Its description in RNAcentral is "long non-coding RNA (PGIN_LNC013677)". Lineage: Eukaryota; Viridiplantae; Streptophyta; Magnoliopsida; Apiales; Araliaceae. The record is from RNAcentral.
AAUAACUUAAUAUAUAUAUGUAUAUAUAAUACGUAUAUAUAUAACAAAACUGAGAUAACUUUUACCGAUAAUUUUGAAAAAUGGGUAAGUGGGGGGUCCAUAUAAUAAACAAAUUUUACAACAAACACAUCACAAAAAUUCCUUCUAUUUAUCUCAAUUCACUUGGCUUCUCAAAGCAUAUUUUUAAUAACAUUCAUCACUAAUAUUAUAACUCACAUAUUAACAACCAGAUCAUUCCAAAGAAAGAGGGGGCUUUCCGAUAAUGAUUUCUUCCUAUUGGCGCGCAAUUAGGUCCUCGACAGAACUUUUUAAACAUCAUCAAUAAUGCAAAUAAUAAUACGAAUAACUUUAUCAUCUCAAUUAAUAAUUUAAUAAUAUAAAAUAUUGUGACAAUAAUUGAAUCAAUAACGUGAUGAGAUACUAUGCAGCAAUUUCUGUGGCAAUAAUUGAACAAAACUGAGUGACUUCUCACGUAAGUAUCAAUAAUCAAAGAUCUUGUACAAUACCGUGUGCUACUAUGCAACCACACGUAUUACUGUACUUUUAUCAACGGGUAUUUCAACAGUUAAUGGUAAAAUUUUUGCCGUUAUUUUUAUAAAAAGAUAUUUCUGUCGUUUUAUAACUUCGACAAUAAUUCCGUUGUGGGGUCCACCAAUGAUUGUGUCGUCGUAUGAAUAUUUCAUGUUAAAACGAAUAUUCCCCGACCAAACGAAUAUUUUAUGACAACUUGCUUACUUUAUAAAAUUUAUAAAUAUUACCCACAACUAUAACAUUAUAUCAAAUCCACACCAUAAUAUUCAAAAUGAUAUUUAGAGAAAAUUAUUCUUUAUUCAUAAAAGUUGGGGUCUUACAUAAGAUGUUUUUAUCUUACAAUAAUCAACUAGAAAAGAAGAGUAAUGAAAAUAUGUAAUAGAGACCUUAUUAGGCAAGGGGAUCCUUUAUCCCCGUACCCUCUUUGCCCUGUUUAUUGAGUCUUUGUCUCAUAUGAUAAAUAAGUUAUGCAAACUCUUGACACCUGGUAAAAAGAGAUCCAAUUUUCUCUCAUUUGUUUUUUGCAGAUGAUAUAUUUCUUUUUUGGGUUAAUUGCAAAUUCAAAUCCGAAGUAUACACCCUUUUAUCCUUCGUACUCCGAUAUUUAAACGCUCUCAUCCCGCAACCCAAAGUACUGUUAAGUAAGUACGAUGGACCCUAUUUAGAUUUCUAGUUAAUUUUUUUUGUCGAAAAAUGGCCAUGUGUCAUAAUUAAAUAUUUAAAUAUUAUUGACCGUAUAAAUAUCGUAGUUGACUUAAUUAAUUUGUAGAAAUACAUGUGAAAUACUAGAUUAACAAAAUAAAGGGUAAAAAUUUCAAACAAUUUGGGAAUUUGAUCAAUUUAAUUCCAUUUCAUUCAACAAACCGAAACAUACAACAAAUUAGAGCAAAAAAACAAAGGGUCCUCUAAUUCCAUCUCAUUUGGUUAAUCAAACUAAGAUAAAAGUGAAAAUCUCUAUCUUUAUCUCUUUCAUUUUCAUUUGAUCUUCAUCUUCAUUAUCAACCCAAAGGCCCUCGAAUUAUGGCGAUUUUUUGUGAAAAAUCUGGAAGAUUCAAACCCAGAUCUACGAUUGGUUUUCUGCGAGACUAGUAGAGGCAAUGAUUUUGUGUGUGGGGUUCUGGAGUCAUGAUCUGAUUGGAGGACUUUGUGUUUUGGUCUGGGGUUGGGUUUGUCUUUGGUGACCUUUUGGAAGAUGGAGAUUCUCCAGAUCUAGUUUGUCUUUAUUCAACUCUGGAACUGUUCUUAUCGGUGGUUUAUUUCCAGUGGUUUCUGAUCUGGAAUUUAUGGUCUUAUUGCUUAUCUAUUUUAAUUUUUAGAUUUGGUUGUUCAUUGCCGAUUACUUGGUUUGUUAUCCAUUUAAUUUUGGAAAUAAAUCCUUUCGCUCUGGUGGUUUUCGUUUUCGUGGAUGGGUCUUGUUUUCGUAUGUUUUCAGAUCUGGAUAUUAUUAUUCAGAUUUGGAUUGUAUCUUUGAUUUCUGUUUUUCCAUGUUCAAUUUUACUUGUUUAAUCUCCUAUUGUGGUAUCUAAUUUUUUAUGGGUGCUUUGAACAAACGAGUUUUGAUUCCAUUUGAUUGAGUUUUGUGCUCCUAUGUUCUGGUUUGUCGGAAUUUUUGGUGGCAACUAGCAAUUUAAUUGUUUAUGGGUUUGAUUGCUUGGGUUGAUUUACCUCCAAAACUUGUUAUCGGAGUCUCAAAUUUAGAACCUAAAUUAUGGGCAGCAUCAGAGAGAGAAAAUGAAGUGGGUUUGAGAUUGGGCAAAAUUUUGAAGAUGAUGAAUGAAUUGGGGUUUUUAGUUUGAGAUUUUUGAGCUUCAUGAAUGGUUACAAAGGAAGAGGAUAAAUGAUUUUGGGUAUUUUAGAUUUUGAAUUUUUUUGGUUAGUUCCAUGGUAAUGGGGAAGAUGAUGAAGAUGGAGAAGAAGAGGAAAAAAACAAAAUUAGUUUGUAAAUUUGUAAUUUAUUGUAUUAGUACAUAUAAAUGUAUUACUUAAUAUAAUUAAUUAGAUUUUCAAAGGUUUUGUUCAGUUAACUGUAUAAAAAUCUGGUCAAAUUCGUAUUAUACACAGAUCACCGGAACACGUGGCAGUUUCGAUCACUUUUUUGGCUGGAAAAUACAAAAGGGUUAGUUAUGGUUACUUAACAGUACUUUGGGUAGCGGGAUGGACGCGUUUAAACAUCGGACUACGAAUGGUAAAAAGGUGUAUACUUCGGGGUUGAAUUUGUAAUUAACUCUUCUUUUUUCCAAUGCCACUGUGAAGCAAACUGAAAUUAUUAUGAAAAUUCUCAAUGAAUUCCAGGAACUAACUGUUAGCAUGAUAUACAUUGUUGGGCCCUCCAUCUAAGAGCUUAAGCUUUUAGAUGAGUUGGUUACUUAACAUGGUAUCAGAGCUCUGGGUGUGCAAGGUCUUGGGUUCAAAUUUUCCCAGCUGCACAAUUAUCUUUCUAUUAAUUUAAUAGUGCAAAUGCACUUUAAUUUCUCUCUCCUCUAUAAAAAAAAGAGUUGCAUUUGAGGGGGAGUGUUAGCUUGAUAUACAUU